This 492-nucleotide ribosomal RNA is filed under the name uncultured bacterium. RNAcentral's name for it is "partial 16S ribosomal RNA". It matches the Rfam family "Bacterial small subunit ribosomal RNA", at positions 29 to 507 of the family's 1533-position model. The record is from RNAcentral.
AGUGAACGCUGGCGGUAGGCCUAACACAUGCAAGCCGAACGGCAGCACAGUAAGAGCUUGCUCUUACGGGUGGCGAGUGGCGGACGGGUGAGGAAUAGAUCGGAAUCUACUUUUUCGUGGGGGAUAACGUAGGGAAACUUACGCUAAUACCGCAUACGUCCUACGGGUGAAAGCAGGGGAUCUUCGGACCUUGCGCGAUUGAAUGAGCCGAUGUCGGAUUAGCUAGUUGGCGGGGUAAAGGCCCACCAAGGCGACGAUCCGUAGCUGGUCUGAGAGGAUGAUCAGCCACACUGGAACUGAGACACGGUCCAGACUCCUACGGGAGGCAGCAGUGGGGAAUAUUGGACAAUGGGCGCAAGCCUGAUCCAGCCAUACCGCGUGGGUGAAGAAGGCCUUCGGGUUGUAAAGCCCUUUUGUUGGGAAAGAAAAGCAGCAGGUUAAUACCCCGCUGUUCUGACGGUACCCAAAGAAUAAGCACCGGCUAACUUCGUG